This 364-nucleotide long non-coding RNA is filed under the name Sinocyclocheilus anshuiensis. RNAcentral describes it as "lncRNA (ENSSANG00000027237.1)". The record is from RNAcentral. Lineage: Eukaryota; Metazoa; Chordata; Actinopteri; Cypriniformes; Cyprinidae.
GUGUCAUAUUAUUUUAUUUUUUUAUUUUCUUAUUUUUUACUUUUUUAGUUUAAAUAACUUUCUCCAAGAUUGCAUAUUAUUUAUUUUAUUUAUUCACAUCUUAUUUUCAGAUGAUAACUGAGAAGAAUCAGUGUCUAAAGAACCUAAAGAACUCUGAACAAGGCACAGCAGCUAUAAAGACUCUUAGUGUGGCUGAACCAUCCACUCUUGAAGUCAACACUCUGUCCCAGUCAGAAGUCAGAGACGUAGAGAAGCUGACAGUUGUCAGUGAUCAGUCAGUGUUAAUGGACUCAAGUAUCUGUGCAGCAUCUGAAGGGCUGGAAAAGGUAAUUCAUUAUAAAUUUGAACAAUCCCUGAAUCCUUU